RNAcentral lists this ribosomal RNA (1325 nucleotides) under Rhodopseudomonas palustris. Its description in RNAcentral is "bacterial SSU rRNA". It matches the Rfam family "Bacterial small subunit ribosomal RNA", at positions 25 to 1340 of the family's 1533-position model. The record is from RNAcentral. Lineage: Bacteria; Pseudomonadati; Pseudomonadota; Alphaproteobacteria; Hyphomicrobiales; Nitrobacteraceae.
CAGGAUGAACGCUAGCGAUAGGCCUAACACAUGCAAGUCGAGGGGCAGCACAUGAAGUAGCAAUACAGAUGGUGGCGACCGGCGCACGGGUGAGUAACACGUAUGCAACCUACCUUCCACAGGAGAAUAACCCGUUGAAAAACGGACUAAUACUCCAUAAUACAGGGGUCCCGCAUGGGAAUAUUUGUUAAAGAUUUUUUUCGGUAGAAGAUGGGCAUGCGUUCCAUUAGCUAGUUGGUUGAGGUAACGGCUCACCAAGGCAACGAUGGAUAGGGGAACUGAGAGGUUUAUCCCCCACACUGGUACUGAGACACGGACCAGACUCCUACGGGAGGCAGCAGUGAGGAAUAUUGGUCAAUGGAGGCAACUCUGAACCAGCCACGUCGCGUGAAGGAUGACGGCCCUACGGGUUGUAAACUUCUUUUAUACAGGAAUAAAGUGAGUCACGUGUGACUUUUUGCAUGUACUGUAUGAAUAAGGAUCGGCUAACUCCGUGCCAGCAGCCGCGGUAAUACGGAGGAUCCAAGCGUUAUCCGGAUUUAUUGGGUUUAAAGGGUGCGCAGGCGGAAGAUUAAGUCGGCGGUGAAAUUUUGCAGCUCAACUGUAAAAGUGCCAUCGAUACUGGUUUUCUUGAGUGUGGAUGAAGUAGGCGGAAUUUGUGGUGUAGCGGUGAAAUGCAUAGAUAUCACGAGGAACUCCGAUUGCGCAGGCAGCUUACUAGGCCAUAACUGACGCUCAGGCACGAAGGCGUGGGGAUCAAACAGGAUUAGAUACCCUGGUAGUCCACGCAGUAAACGAUGAUUACUCGCUGUUUGCGAUACACAGUAAGCGGCUUAGCGAAAGCGUUAAGUAAUCCACCUGGGGAGUACGUUCGCAAGAAUGAAACUCAAAGGAAUUGACGGGGGCCCGCACAAGCGGAGGAACAUGUGGUUUAAUUCGAUGAUACGCGAGGAACCUUACCCGGGUUUGAAAUUAUGUUGCAUAGUUUGGAAACAGGCUUUUCCUUAUAGGACCACAUACUAGGUGCUGCAUGGUUGUCGUCAGCUCGUGCCGUGAGGUGUCGGCUUAAGUGCCAUAACGAGCGCAACCCUCAUCAUUAGUUACCAUCAGGUUAAGCUGGGGACUCUAAUGAGACUGCCAUCGUAAGAUGUGAGGAAGGUGGGGAUGACGUCAAAUCAGCACGGCCCUUACGUCCGGGGCGACACACGUGUUACAAUGGAUGGUACAAAGGGCAGCUACAUGGCGACAUGAUGCUAAUCUCCAAAACCACUCUCAGUUCGGAUCGGAGUCUGCAACUCGACUCCGUGAAGCUGGAUUCGCUAGUA